RNAcentral lists this ribosomal RNA (102 nucleotides) under Erinaceus europaeus (western European hedgehog). The record is from RNAcentral. Lineage: Eukaryota; Metazoa; Chordata; Mammalia; Eulipotyphla; Erinaceidae.
CCAGGCCACCCUGAAAAACACCUGAUCUCAUCUGAUCUCAGUAGCUAAGGAGGGUACUUGGAUGGGAGAUUCAGAGAUCUGGCCAACCUUACAGAGCUUGGA